CCUACGGGAGGCAGCAGUGAGGAAUAUUGGUCAAUGAACGAGAGUCUGAACCAGCCAAGUAGCGUGAAGGAUGACUGCCCUAUGGGUUGUAAACUUCUUUUAUAAAGGAAUAAAACGAGGCACGUGUGCCUUUUUGCAUGUACUUUAUGAAUAAGGAUCGGCUAACUCCGUGCCAGCAGCCGCGGUAAUUCGGAGGAUCCGAGCGUUAUCCGGAUUGAUUGGGUUUAAAGGGAGCGUAGAUGGGUUGGUAAGUCAGUUGUGAAAGUUUGCGGCUCAACCGUAAGAUUGCAAUUGAUACUGGCAGUCUUGAGUACAGUUGAGGUAGGCGGAAUUCGUGGUGUAGCGGUGAAAUGCUUAGAUAUCAUGAAGAACCCCGAAUGCGAAGGCAGCUUACUAAACUGUGACUGACAUUGAUGGUCGAAAGUGUGGGUAUCAAACAGGAUUAGAUACCCGGGUAGUC
RNAcentral lists this ribosomal RNA (460 nucleotides) under uncultured bacterium. RNAcentral describes it as "partial 16S ribosomal RNA". It matches the Rfam family "Bacterial small subunit ribosomal RNA", at positions 338 to 795 of the family's 1533-position model. The record is from RNAcentral.